RNAcentral lists this long non-coding RNA (1607 nucleotides) under Helianthus annuus (common sunflower). RNAcentral's name for it is "hypothetical non coding rna". The record is from RNAcentral. Lineage: Eukaryota; Viridiplantae; Streptophyta; Magnoliopsida; Asterales; Asteraceae.
UCUUCUGUACCGCCGUAUUCAAUCUUCAUCAGAUUUGCAAUCUAAUUCAACUGGUUAUAGGGUUCAAUAAUUAAUAAGCCUAUUACUAGGGAAUGCAGAUCCAAAAUCCGCCUCACUUUUAUCUUUUAACCCUUUUUCGCUUCCUCUUCUAUCUGUUUCUUUCUCUUUCCAAAACACCACCACCAUCUGUGAUUCUUUAGGGUUUGCAAUUUGGUGCUUUAUGAAUUUCUUUGUGCAAAGGGGAGUAAAUAAAGAGACGCAAUCAUUUGAAAAUCCAGUUUGAUUUGGGUUCUUCUCAAGAGUUACAAAGAUGCUUAUAUUGACAGUGGUUCUUGAAGUUCUUGGUUUAUGUUGGAUGUCGCCAAGGGGGAGGAGAUUCUUGGUCGAAUCAAACAGAAUAUGUUUUCUAUAGAUUGUGGAUGAUUGGGUGAAACAACUUAUUCGUAUCUCGGUGUACAAAAAUAAGAUGGUUGAAGAUGAAUAUGUGGUCGGUCAUAUAUACUUUUGGUUCACAUGAGCUUGGGUUCAUGGUCCUAGGGUAGAUAUUGACACCUUAUGUGUGGGGCCUUCUUAUGUGAAUCGAGAUGAGGAUUUUUUUCUUUGUUUUGCACGGCAUAUUAGUCCCCACAAAACACCUUCACUGAGCGGCAAAACAGGGAUGGCGGCACCUUCACCGAGCGGCAAACCCUCACCCUGCACACUUUCCCCGCUCCACCACGUUCACCCUUAAGUGGAAUGGAGGAAGUUAUUGAACUUCAACUACUUCCAGAUGCUCAUGCUCCAGUCAUGAAGUUCAAGUUUGAUGGAAUAAAUCUCAAAUUAUAGAAUAUAGAUACAAUAUUGGUGGCAUGAUACCUCAAGGCAACACGUGACAUUAGGGGAAACCAACCUGGUGAUUAGAGAAUUUUGCUGGAAAUUUCAGGAUUUUACCGGAAUGUUGUCGAAAUCUAACCAAAAUCCGACUGAAAUCUCGUUUGAAGGUCGCCAGGGAUGAAAUCUAAAACUAGGAAACAACCUUAACACACCAUCUUUUAAAGAAUUCAGUUUCUCCAUAUCCCAAUAAGUCGUUCAACAACAAUUUUCUUUGAAACACAAGAGUUGAUUAAUAAAAUGGAAAUGAAAAUAGUUUCAGUAAUAUGGGAAAAUGUUUAAGAAUCCAUAUUGAAAACGAUGAAACUGUGAUUACUAGGGCUAUUCUCAACAUGCCCAUCACAAGAGCCAGCAUCAUCCGUGAUCCCACUUGAACCAGAAGAAACCUGUAUCAGGUUUGGAGCUGCCUACAUUGGUUGCAGGGUAUGAGAAGAAGCCGAUAUCACAGCUUUGAUCGUCCAUUCAUUUGAAGAAACAUAACAGAAUGAAGGAGGUGAAGUAGUUACCAUUCAUAAAGCUAGCGAGUUGGAAACAAGAUUGACCACUUCAUCAAAGUUGAACAAACUAGCCAUUUUUACAUGGUGAACUCGGUCACCUGGGCGAUUAACAAGCACCUCUCCUCAAAGUCCCACCAAGUUUUUUCAAACUUUGCUAUAUCCCUUAGUGUAACCGUAUUAACUUGUACAUCAUGUUUUAAAUAUGGCGUAUUUGUUUGAAUGACAAAUCUUUUGUUUUUU